RNAcentral lists this ribosomal RNA (468 nucleotides) under uncultured bacterium. RNAcentral describes it as "bacterial SSU rRNA". It matches the Rfam family "Bacterial small subunit ribosomal RNA", at positions 28 to 507 of the family's 1533-position model. The record is from RNAcentral.
GACGAACGCUGGCGGCGUGCCUAACACAUGCAAGUCGAGCGGAGACAGUGAGUAGCUUGCUAUGAGCUGUUUUAGCGGCGGACGGGUGAGUAACGCGUGAGCAACCUUUCCCAGACAGGGGAAUAACACACCGAAAGGUGUACUAAUACCGCAUAAGACCACGGGAUCACAUGGUUCUGGGGUAAAAGAUUUAUCGGUUUGGGGUGGGCUCGCGUCCGAUUAGGUAGUUGGUGAGGUAACGGCCCACCAAGCCGACGAUCGGUAGCCGACCUGAGAGGGUGAUCGGCCACAUUGGGACUGAGACACGGCCCAGACUCCUACGGGAGGCAGCAGUGGGGAAUAUUGCACAAUGGGGGAAACCCUGAUGCAGCGACGCCGCGUGGAGGAAGAAGGUCUUCGGAUUGUAAACUCCUGUUGUUGGGGAAGAUAAUGACGGUACCUGACUAAGAAGCACCGGCUAAAUACGUG